UACGGGGGGGGCAAGCGUUGUUCGGAAUUACUGGGCGUAAAGAGCUCGUAGGCGGUCUGUCGCGUCUGCUGUGAAAACUCAGGGCUUAACCCUGAGCUUGCAGUGGGUACGGGCAGACUAGAGUGCGGUAGGGGAGACUGGAAUUCCUGGUGUAGCGGUGAAAUGCGCAGAUAUCAGGAGGAACACCGGUGGCGAAGGCGGGUCUCUGGGCCGUAACUGACGCUGAGGAGCGAAAGCAUGGGGAGCGAACAGG
Molecule: ribosomal RNA, 253 nt
Filed under: uncultured bacterium
Lineage: Bacteria
Description: partial 16S ribosomal RNA
Rfam family: Bacterial small subunit ribosomal RNA
Source: RNAcentral